This 253-nucleotide ribosomal RNA is filed under the name uncultured bacterium. Its description in RNAcentral is "partial 16S ribosomal RNA". It matches the Rfam family "Bacterial small subunit ribosomal RNA", at positions 524 to 776 of the family's 1533-position model. The record is from RNAcentral.
UACGAGGGGGGCGAGCGUUGUUCGGAAUUAUUGGGCGUAAAGGGCGCGUAGGCGGUGCGGUAAGUCACCUGUGAAAUCUCUGGGCUUAACUCAGAGCCUGCAGGCGAAACUGCCGUGCUGGAGUGUGGGAGAGGUGCGUGGAAUUCCCGGUGUAGCAGUGAAAUGCGUAGAUAUCGGGAGGAACACCUGUGGCGAAAGCGGCGCACUGGACCACAACUGACGCUGAGGCGCGAAAGCUAGGGGAGCAAACAGG